UACGUAGGGUGCAAGCGUUGUCCGGAAUUAUUGGGCGUAAAGAGCUCGUAGGCGGUCUGUCGCGUCGGCUGUGAAAACCCGGAGCUCAACUCCGGGCCUGCAGUCGAUACGGGCAGACUGGAGUACUGCAGGGGAGACUGGAAUUCCUGGUGUAGCGGUGGAAUGCGCAGAUAUCAGGAGGAACACCGGUGGCGAAGGCGGGUCUCUGGGCAGUAACUGACGCUGAGGAGCGAAAGCGUGGGGAGCAAACAGGAUUAGAUACCCGGGUA
RNAcentral lists this ribosomal RNA (269 nucleotides) under uncultured bacterium. RNAcentral's name for it is "partial 16S ribosomal RNA". It matches the Rfam family "Bacterial small subunit ribosomal RNA", at positions 524 to 792 of the family's 1533-position model. The record is from RNAcentral.